This 433-nucleotide ribosomal RNA is filed under the name uncultured bacterium. RNAcentral describes it as "partial 16S ribosomal RNA". It matches the Rfam family "Bacterial small subunit ribosomal RNA", at positions 29 to 507 of the family's 1533-position model. The record is from RNAcentral.
AACGAACGCUAGCGGCAGGCCUAACACAUGCAAGUCGAGCGGACCUUUCGGGGUCAGCGGCGGACGGGUGAGUAACGCGUGGGAAUAUGCCCUUCUCUACGGAAUAGUCCUGGGAAACUGGGGGUAAUACCGUAUACGCCCUUUGGGGGAAAGAUUUAUCGGGGAAGGAUUAGCCCGCGUUGGAUUAGGUAGUUGGUGGGGUAAUGGCCUACCAAGCCGACGAUCCAUAGCUGGUUUGAGAGGAUGAUCAGCCACACUGGGACUGAGACACGGCCCAGACUCCUACGGGAGGCAGCAGUGGGGAAUCUUAGACAAUGGGGGCAACCCUGAUCUAGCCAUGCCGCGUGAGUGAUGAAGGCCUUAGGGUUGUAAAGCUCUUUCAGCUGGGAAGAUAAUGACGGUACCAGCAGAAGAAGCCCCGGCUAACUCCGUG